This 245-nucleotide ribosomal RNA is filed under the name uncultured bacterium. RNAcentral describes it as "partial 16S ribosomal RNA". It matches the Rfam family "Bacterial small subunit ribosomal RNA", at positions 524 to 768 of the family's 1533-position model. The record is from RNAcentral.
UACGUAGGGUGCGAGCGUUAAUCGGAAUUACUGGGCGUAAAGCGUGCGCAGGCGGUUUUGUAAGUCAGAUGUGAAAUCCCCGGGCUCAACCUGGGAACUGCGUUUGAAACUACAAGGCUAGAGUGUAGCAGAGGGGGGUAGAAUUCCACGUGUAGCAGUGAAAUGCGUAGAGAUGUGGAGGAAUACCAAUGGCGAAGGCAGCCCCCUGGGUUAACACUGACGCUCAUGCACGAAAGCGUGGGGAG